This 73-nucleotide transfer RNA is filed under the name Anneissia japonica. Its description in RNAcentral is "tRNA-Val". It matches the Rfam family "tRNA". From Rfam's summary of the family: Transfer RNA (tRNA) molecules are approximately 80 nucleotides in length. The record is from RNAcentral. Lineage: Eukaryota; Metazoa; Echinodermata; Crinoidea; Comatulida; Comatulidae.
GGUUUUGUGGUGUAGUGGUUAUCGCGUCUGCUUUACACGCAGAAGGUCCCUGGUUCGAGCCCGGGCGGAACCU